This 253-nucleotide ribosomal RNA is filed under the name uncultured bacterium. Its description in RNAcentral is "partial 16S ribosomal RNA". It matches the Rfam family "Bacterial small subunit ribosomal RNA", at positions 524 to 776 of the family's 1533-position model. The record is from RNAcentral.
UACGUAGGGCGCAAGCGUUAUCCGGAAUUAUUGGGCGUAAAGAGCUCGUAGGCGGCCUGUCGCGUCGGAUGUGAAAACCCGGGGCUCAACCCCGGGCCUGCAGCCGAUACGGGCAGACUAGAGUUCGGCAGGGGAGACUGGAAUUCCUGGUGUAGCGGUGAAAUGCGCAGAUAUCAGGAGGAACACCGGUGGCGAAGGCGGGUCUCUGGGCCGAUACUGACGCUGAGGAGCGAAAGCGUGGGGAGCGAACAGG